AAAGUCUGUACACAGUCAAUGUCUGUAACACUGAGAUUACUACUGUUUAGAGCCAAAAUUUUGUUCAAUUUUGAAUAUUUUCUGAUAUCUCUGUGGUUACUCAGAGUUGGUGCUAUCCCCAUUCAGAGCUAGAGAUGAUCAAUAGUGUCCUUCAGUCCGAGAGCUGGGUUGCUUGGGAAUGAUACCCUUAGUGGGUGGUAAACUCCACCCAAGGCUAAGUAAGAUGACAAGUCCAAGAGCUGAUAAGUACCAGAAGGGAAAGAUAAAAAAAAACUCUGGAGUGAGAGUUCAAGAGACCAUGAAAAUGAAACUAGUCUUGAUACCAUCAUUUUCCUCUUCUCUACAUUUGCAAGGUCUCUCUUAGAAUAUUGCUACCCAGUAUAAGGAUUGAAGCACCCCAGAGAUCAACCAUAGACAAAAACAGCCAAAUAGCAUGACAGACCUUGACUAUGGGAUAACCUCAAAACUUCAAAUUUUAUUCUCUCCAAUACUGCCAUGAACACUGCAUUAUUUGUAGAAUGGAGAAAAUAUUCCAUCAAUACUGUCUAAACAAUGCUGGUAUCGAGUUCACCUUUCAGCUG
Molecule: non-coding RNA, 581 nt
Organism: Octopus bimaculoides (California two-spot octopus)
Lineage: Eukaryota; Metazoa; Mollusca; Cephalopoda; Octopoda; Octopodidae
Source: Rfam